Molecule: long non-coding RNA, 1233 nt
Organism: Patella vulgata (common limpet)
Lineage: Eukaryota; Metazoa; Mollusca; Gastropoda; Patellidae
Exons: 6
Source: RefSeq, a predicted model, not a curated record
ACAUAUGGACCAGUGGUGUCUGAUUCUUUAUUUAAAUUACAUAUCGGCAACAAGGGUAAAAUGUGGUUACAAAUCCAGUUUCGUAACAUGUCCCGGUAGGCCUAUAUAUGAAAGAGCCAAUCUAUUGGAACUGGAAGGUGUGUAUUGGUGUGAGGAAUGAUUGAGGUAUGAGACUCGUGGGGAGGGGUGAUUACCAGAUCAAUAUUAUUAUCCAGUUUCAUCUAUUCCCUAUGUAUUCAAACUAAUCACCGGUGAAUUUUUAUGGAAAGAUUAUAUGUCAAACUAAUAUUUGAUUCCAAUUUGGAGAGAGGGAGAGAGAGAGAGAAAGAGAGAGAGAGAGAGAGAGAUGGGGUUUAACGUCCACUCGACACUAACAUAUGUUUUAAUUUUAUUUCAGAAAUUCGCUUGCGCGUAGGGGUCUUUAGCAGUGGGAGGUAACCGGAGGACAGGAAGAAAACCCACGACGUUGGACAGGCGAUCCUACUCCUUGUCACGUACAACCGGGGAUUCGAAACCACGCCAGUUGACUCAAUGACAGGUCUUAUUUAUGAUACAGCGCGCACGUGCUAACCAUUCUUGCAUCCACCCCCCCCCCCCAAUUCCAAUUUGGACAUUAUGACCUUUAUGGAAUUAUCAUGAACUGUCUGUAGCCGAUUAAAAGGGCGUAACAGUUGGUAGGAGCUGGUAUAUAAAUGACUUGAAUCAAUGAAAUAUUAAUACACUAACACUUCUCCAUAGCCAAGUUAUCCGUCAUUUUCAGAUUAUCAAGAUGAAAUCUCUGGCUGUUGCUUUAGUGGUAUGUUUAGUGGCAGUACCUUCUUACUGUAAUGAUUCAUUCUGCCGGACAGAACCAUUUUCCGCCAGAUUCGAUAUGAAAACAAUGUCAAUGCAGGAAUACUGCAAAUUAGGUGACAAAGAGAUGGAAAUAAACGGUGAGCCAACAAUAGAUUUAGUAAAUUGUGAAAGAUGCACAUGCGGACCAUCUGAUUUAAAGUGUUGUGGAAUUGGACAUAAUAAACCAAUGAUACAAACACCAGUGGGGUGUUUUAAAAAAAAUCUUGAAAAAUGUUGUUACAAAUUUGUCCAGCGAGCAAACGACGCUCUCGCUUGUGGUGAAAUAAUUUGCCCUGAAGCCUAGAGAACCAAUCAAUUAGUUAUAUAGAACCAGCUAUUAACUAUAAUCAAUCUUUAAAGACAUUAGCUUUGUAUUUCAAUAAAACGUAAACAAAGUUA